This 410-nucleotide long non-coding RNA is filed under the name Vigna radiata. Its description in RNAcentral is "long non-coding RNA (VRAD_LNC011303)". Lineage: Eukaryota; Viridiplantae; Streptophyta; Magnoliopsida; Fabales; Fabaceae. The record is from RNAcentral.
UUUUAUUUGUAUUUUGGGCUUAGCCCAUAUUUCUUCCAUUAUAAAUAGAGGAAUUUAACAUAAGGGAGAUUAAUCUCAUACAUAAUUUUCAUUAUAUUCAACAUGGAAUCAGAGCAUAAGGUUCUUCGUUCGUAGCCCCUGCCCAUUAUAACCACCACCACCGUUAGAGUCGUCAUUGCCAGCAUUAGAGUUGUCGUCGUCGUCACCGUCAUCAUAGCAUUAUUUUCAACUGAUGGCCACAAUUUUUCUCGUCUCAGCCAAGCAACCACAACGUCGUCAAGAUCGCUACCAUCGGAGUCUAGACACGCUCUCACACAUCAAUCACAGUUUGCUUCAUCUAUGCUUUCUAGCCGCUCGUGACAACAUGUGUGUCAUUGUCUCCGUCGCCGACCACCUUCGUUGGACUCAUU